GAGUUUUCGACACCGCGACAGAUGUCAUCCACAGAUUGACGACACAACCGAUACCUGCAAGCCGAUCACGAUCAGUACUCCUCGUCCUCCUCAUCAUCGUCACCACCGCCCUCAGCGCCGACCUCCUCGUAGUCCUUCUCCAGGGCCGCCAGGUCCUCACGGGCCUCGGAGAACUCCCCCUCCUCCAUGCCCUCGCCGACAUACCAGUGCACAAAGGCGCGCUUGGCAUACAUGAGGUCGAACUUGCGGUCGAUGCGGGAGAACACCUCAGCGACGCUGGUGGAGUUGGAGAUCAUGCACACAGCGCGCUGCACCUUGGCGAGGUCACCACCCGGCACCACUGUCGGUGCCUGGUAGUUGAUGCCGCACUUGAACCCUGUUGGGCACCAGUCCACAAACUGGAUCGUGCGCUUCGUCUUGAUGGUGGCCACCGCCGCGUUCACAUCCUUGGGCACCACAUCGCCGCGGUACAUCAGGCAGCACGCCAUGU
RNAcentral lists this long non-coding RNA (490 nucleotides) under Setaria viridis. RNAcentral's name for it is "long non-coding RNA (SVIR_LNC010098)". The record is from RNAcentral. Lineage: Eukaryota; Viridiplantae; Streptophyta; Magnoliopsida; Poales; Poaceae.